UACAGAGGGGGCAAGCGUUGUUCGGAAUUACUGGGCGUAAAGGGCGCGUAGGCGGCCUGCUAAGUCGAACGUGAAAUCCCUGGGCUCAACCCAGGAACUGCGUCCGAUACUGGUUGGCUUGAAUCCGGGAGAGGGAUGUGGAAUUCCAGGUGUAGCGGUGAAAUGCGUAGAUAUCGGGAGGAAUACCAGUGGCGAAGGCGGCUGCCUGGCCUGUUCUUGACGCUGAGGCGCGAAAGCUGGGGGAGCAAACGGG
This 253-nucleotide ribosomal RNA is filed under the name uncultured bacterium. RNAcentral's name for it is "partial 16S ribosomal RNA". It matches the Rfam family "Bacterial small subunit ribosomal RNA", at positions 524 to 776 of the family's 1533-position model. The record is from RNAcentral.